UGGGGAAUAUUGCACAAUGGGCGCAAGCCUGAUGCAGCCAUGCCGCGUGUGUGAAGAAGGCCUUCGGGUUGUAAAGCACUUUCAGCGGGGAGGAAGGCGUUAAGGUUAAUAACCUUGGCGAUUGACGUUACCCGCAGAAGAAGCACCGGCUAACUCUGUGCCAGCAGCCGCGGUAAUACGGAGGGUGCAAGCGUUAAUCGGAAUUACUGGGCGUAAAGCGCACGCAGGCGGUCUGUCAAGUCGGAUGUGAAAUCCCCGGGCUCAACCUGGGAACUGCAUUCGAAACUGGCAGGCUAUAGUCUUGUAGAGGGGGGUAGAAUUCCAGGUGUAGCAGUGAAAUGCGUAGAGAUCUGGAGGAAUACCGGUGGCGAAGGCGGCCCCCUGGACAACGACUGACGCUCAGGUGCGAAAGCGUGGGGAGCAAACAGG
Molecule: ribosomal RNA, 429 nt
Filed under: Chloroflexota bacterium
Lineage: Bacteria; Bacillati; Chloroflexota
Description: Chloroflexi bacterium partial 16S ribosomal RNA
Rfam family: Bacterial small subunit ribosomal RNA
Source: RNAcentral